CCCGGCGCUCCACCCCGUUGCACCGUUAAAACCGAUGGUAUAGGAGUGUCGGGGGGGUAAGCGGAAUUCCCCUAUAUGUAGCGGGAAAAAAUAAGAAGAUAUAAGGAGGAACCCCCAGUGGGGGGGGGCGGGUUUCCUGCAGAAUAACUACGCUGAGGGCUCGAAAGGGGGAGGAGCAAAACAAGAAUUUGAUACCCCGGUAGUCCACGCCGUAAAACGAUGAAUACUAGGGUGGGGGGGGAGCAAUGCUUCUCGGUGCCGUCGCAAACGCAGUAAGUAUUCCUCCUGGGGAGUACGUUCGCAAGAAUGAAACUCAAAGGAAUGAACGGGGACCCGCACAAGCGGUGGAGCAUGUGGUUUAAUUCGAAGCAACGCGAAGAACCUUACCAAGUCUUGACAUCCUUCUGACCGGUACUUAACCGUACCUUCUCUUCGGAGCAGGAGUGACAGGUGGUGCAUGGUUGUCGUCAGCUCGUGUCGUGAGAUGUUGGGUUAAGUCCCGCAACGAGCGCAACCCUUAUCUUUAGUAGCCAGCGGUUUGGCCGGGCACUCUAGAGAGACUGCCAGGGAUAACCUGGAGGAAGGCGGGGAUGACGUCAAAUCAUCAUGCCCCUUAUGACUUGGGCUACACACGUGCUACAAUGGCGUAAACAAAGGGAAGCAAAGCUGUGAAGCCGAGCAAAUCUCAAAAAUAACGUCUCAGUUCGGACUGUAGUCUGCAACCCGACUACACGAAGCUGGAAUCGCUAGUAAUCGCAGAUCAGAAUGCUGCGGUGAAUACGUUCCCGGGUCUUGCACUCACCGCCCGUCA
This 811-nucleotide ribosomal RNA is filed under the name uncultured bacterium. Its description in RNAcentral is "partial 16S ribosomal RNA". It matches the Rfam family "Bacterial small subunit ribosomal RNA", at positions 601 to 1399 of the family's 1533-position model. The record is from RNAcentral.